AAGUCGUAACAAGGUUUCCGUAGGUGAACCUGCGGAAGGAUCAUUAGUGAAUAAACUAGUGUAGGUUGUGCUGGCCUUCUUGGUAUGUGCACGCCUACCAAUGUUUCAUUCUAUCUUCCCACCUGUGCACUUUGUGUAGAUUCUGUAUGCUAUUGUCAGGCCUUUAUUGUGCUUGGUUGAGAGGAGUUGCCUGUUUUCACAGACAAGGCUCUCUUUGGGCAUGCAGGUCUAUGUUUUAUAUCAACACUAUAAUGUCAUAGAAUGUGCUUUGGGCUUUUAGCCUUUAAAACAUAUACAACUUUCAACAACGGAUCUCUUGGCUCUC
This 325-nucleotide unclassified non-coding RNA is filed under the name air metagenome. RNAcentral's name for it is "partial contains small subunit ribosomal RNA, internal transcribed spacer 1, and 5.8S ribosomal RNA". The stretch from base 1 to 46 matches the Rfam family "Eukaryotic small subunit ribosomal RNA", at positions 1786 to 1831 of the family's 1831-position model. The record is from RNAcentral.